This 1484-nucleotide long non-coding RNA is filed under the name Salvia miltiorrhiza (redroot sage). RNAcentral's name for it is "long non-coding RNA (SMIL_LNC010372)". The record is from RNAcentral. Lineage: Eukaryota; Viridiplantae; Streptophyta; Magnoliopsida; Lamiales; Lamiaceae.
UCCCCUGCAUAUGUAAGAAGAAAACAAGACAACAUUUAGGUUUCCUUGCUGGAAAGCAGAGAUAACAAACCUGUAAAUUGAAUAAGCAUCUUAAAUGAGUGGCUCAGUGCCUUCCCAGGAUCCCUUGCUUUCACCAAAAAAGAAGAGCUAAAUUGCAUUGCACUACACACCUCUCGCUAUAAACCUGAAAUUAGUACCGAGGACAGUGUAAUUGACGUAGUCAAUGAUUCAACAUGAAAUUCUCUAUUCCCUCACCAAGACUAAAAGGUAAAAUAAAUAAUACAAGAGACACAAAAAAGAAUGACAUCAAUAUAUAGAAAAUCAAGUAGUUUAAACAAUUUUUUUAAACACAUUGGCAAUUAUUAGUAAAUUUAAAUGUUCUUGGCAAGAGAUCAUGCUAUCCUAACAAAGACAUUUGAAAGCCAACUUCUAUGGUUUAGAAACUUGAAAAAACCAGCUUUAUCCAAGACAUAGAGAAUAUCAUUAUUGCUCAAGUAACAGAAACCAUGUGCAACAAAGUCCUUCAUCUCCAGCUUCUAUUAAUGGUUCAGGCUGAAAUAAAAUAAAAAUAAAAAUAAUAGCAGGAGGAAGAAAUUGGAUCAUAAAUUCAGUAAAUAUAAUAUUUCAUUCCACACUUCUAUAACUUACCUCAUGAAUCAAGACAUGCUUUACUGCAAUGCGAGAUUAAUAUAACACGAAUUGUAACCCUACUAGAAGACAAACCAAAUAAAUAUAUGAGAUAGUUCUAGAGCAAUAAUACUAAGUAUUCAUCAUUACAUUGAAAACUCAAUUUGUAUAAACAUCUAACUAGCUUCAAAGUAUACAAAAUUGCUAAAGACUGCAAAGUAUUACGAUAGUGGAAUUUGCAUAGAUGCAUACCUUAAUUCUCUACAAACGACAUCAACUUUCUAAACAAAACAAACUUCCUGAGGAUUCCAAUACCAUACUUCAACUUUCUAAAUAAUAUCAACAUCAAAUUUCUAUAUAUUAAAAAGGACGAUACCAGAGCAUACAUAAUACAUUUGCUGUUCAAUUCUGCCAAAAUCUUAGUCCUCUUAGAAUAAAAGAGAUAUCAAACACCAAACACCAACACUAAAAUUUUUCUUAGAGAAAAGGUAAUUAAAGGGAGAAUUUCAAUUCAUCAAAUACCAGUUAGAAUUCGAUAUAUAUCGCGAACCGAAAAUAAGUAAAAAUUCUCCCUGCUCAAGCUGUCGACCAACUGUAGUUGCUGCCCCCCUUUCGCUGCCAAAAUUGGUAACGCUAUUACCUCCUUUGGCCACAUCAGCCGCUUGUCGUUUGGUCGGAUCGGCACCGUGCACACCUGAAGUGUCGACCGCCAAAUGAUCUGCCGCUUGAACUAUAUAUCCACUUCGCAAUCUGCCAUCUUGCCUUCUUCAAAGCACAAACCCUUCCCCCUUUCACCAAUUACAUAUGUAAUAGGAUGAAAAUAAAGAUUUUGGCUGUGGCGUAAAUUGAAUUGAUAA